GUGGGUAACCUGCCCAAGAGAUCGGGAUAACACCUGGAAACAGAUGCUAAUACCGGAUAACAACAGAUGAUGCCUAUCAACUGUUUAAAAGAUGGUUCUGCUAUCACUCUUGGAUGGACCUGCGGUGCAUUAGCUAGUUGGUAGGGUAACGGCCUACCAAGGCGAUGAUGCAUAGCCGAGUUGAGAGACUGAUCGGCCACAUUGGGACUGAGACACGGCCCAAACUCCUACGGGAGGCAGCAGCC
RNAcentral lists this ribosomal RNA (245 nucleotides) under uncultured Lactobacillus sp. RNAcentral describes it as "partial 16S ribosomal RNA". It matches the Rfam family "Bacterial small subunit ribosomal RNA", at positions 117 to 355 of the family's 1533-position model. Lineage: Bacteria; Bacillati; Bacillota; Bacilli; Lactobacillales; Lactobacillaceae. The record is from RNAcentral.